UUAUAUACACCAAAUAAAGAGGGAGAAAGUUAACAAAACUCCCUAAUACUCACUGUACUAGCAAAGUACAUUCUGUCCCAAGAGAGCUUUUGGUAAGGAAAAUUGAAAUCCACUACAAAUUCAAUUUAGCUCUCAAAAUGAAUGACCAAAUUCUUCAGGUUUUAUCUUUUUUUCUGCUUAGCCCAGUCCUCUUGAGUGGUGGCAAC
Molecule: non-coding RNA, 206 nt
Organism: Pelobates cultripes (western spadefoot toad)
Lineage: Eukaryota; Metazoa; Chordata; Amphibia; Anura; Pelobatidae
Source: the annotation of a GenBank genome assembly